Molecule: long non-coding RNA, 652 nt
Organism: Triticum dicoccoides
Lineage: Eukaryota; Viridiplantae; Streptophyta; Magnoliopsida; Poales; Poaceae
Exons: 4
Source: RefSeq, a predicted model, not a curated record
AGGAGCGAGGUGAGAGGCUUGUUAACACGUGGAUUGCCUUCAGUGCCGUGGACAAAUUUGAGGAGGAUUGCGAGAUGCUGGAACAUUUGUUGAUUGCGAGUUGUCUUCCAGGGAAUUAUGCAUGUGGAGGAGAAGCAACCGCUGUGGAAUUUCCGUUUUUCUUUGGUAUCUGAGAAGAAAGCUCUUACAAAGUUUGUCCGUUCAGUGCAAUCAUCCAUAUUCAAGAGUGCCUUGAAAUCCACCGCGUCUUACAUUUAAGACGGCAAAUGGGGGAGCAUCCAAGAUAAUUUUCAGAAAGGGAGAUGACCUCCGACAAGGUCAGCUGGGUGACCUCUGCUGCGAUUUCCUGUGUUCAUUCGGAGGAGACGGCUGAUUAAUAGCUAUUCUUCUGGUCACUUAAAACUGAUGUAACUCAGUUUCUUGUAUGUACCCGCGAGGGCCAUCAUGGGCUCCACCUGCGCCCUAUUGCCGGCCUUCCGAUGUGGCGCCCCGACCUCCCUAUAGAGGACCAGAAGCUUGCAGUAGCAGGAGCAGCAGCAUCUCGGACCCUCCCCUCCUUCCUUCCCCUUCCUGUCAAGUUUUUGUGUGAAAAGCAAUCUUGAUCAAAAAUAAAUCUGCUUAUUUAAUGGGCUGCCACUUCACAUUGAUUCAA